CAGAACGGGAGCGUCACGACUUGUAUGUGUAUAAUAUAUACGGCCAUUACACUUUGUAAAUGUGUGAGGUUGAUAAAAACUAUAAUAACAUAAUAUAAUGUUGUCAAAUACGUCUCUCAUUUUGAAUUAGCACGUAUGAUAUGUUCGUUUUGUAAUUAAAUUAACCAAUCCACACAUAUUUUGUAAAAAUCAUAAUUGAUGUACGAGCGUACAAUCGUCGUUCUUUGUUCAGCAGAAGUGUGAAGUGUUAUAAUAAAAUUUAGAAAAUUAACAUUCCGUUGUUUGGUAUUAGACGUUGAGUAUGUUUAGCAUUAGUGAAUUAUGCUGCAUGUUUUGCUGCCCGCCUUGUCCCGGACCGAUAGCUGCCAAACUCGCUUUCCAGCCACCUGAGCCAACAUACAAAUUGACGCCAGCUGAUGACACGAACAUCAAAUACAAUUUACAGCUUUAUGAUCGCGCCGAAUGGCAAUACUCUGAACGCGAGAAAUCAAAAAUUGAGUCGUUCUUUACCCGCACAUCUCGUGGCAACUUGAUUACAUGCACAUAUGUUCGAUGCAGCAAGAAUGCAAAAUAUACACUGCUCUUUUCUCAUGGCAAUGCUGUUGAUUUGGGUCAGAUGAGCAGCUUUUAUCUCACACUUGGCUCCCAAAUCAAUUGCAACAUAUUUGGCUACGAUUAUUCCGGAUAUGGUAUGAGUGGUGGAAAACCCUCGGAGAAGAACCUUUAUGCAGAUAUCGAAGCUGCUUGGCAAGCAAUGAGGACAAGGCUAAAUAUAAGUCCUGAGACCAUUAUACUUUACGGCCAGAGCAUAGGAACUGUUCCAACUGUCGAUCUCGCAUCUCGUCAUGAGGUUGGUGCAGUUAUUCUUCAUUCACCAUUGAUGUCGGGGCUUCGAGUUGUCUUCAGAAACACAAAGAGAACUUGGUUUUUCGAUGCCUUUCCAAGUAUUGAUAAGGUGGCUAAAGUUAAAUCACCCGUUUUGGUCAUUCAUGGAACCGACGACGAGGUCAUUGAUUUUUCUCAUGGAAUUGGCAUUUAUGAGCGAUGUCCUAAGACUGUGGAACCUUUUUGGGUGGAGGGAGCUGGUCAUAAUGACGUUGAAUUACAUCCCCAAUACUAUGAGCGGUUGAGAAAAUUUCUUUCCGUGGAACUGAUUAAAUGACAAUUAAAGAACAAUGCUGAUGGAGGUGUUCGUAACAAUACUUCUGAUGGAGCAACUAACAAUACAAAUACAAAUCUUAUGGCAGCUAGUUUGAAAUUUAGUCAAAAACCGCAAACCGCUUCAGCAGCGACAGAACGUGAAUCUAAUAUCAAAAACAAUAAGCAAGAUGACAACGAUGGUUGUACAGCCUCUGGUUCUAUUUCAAUUAAAGAUCUUGCUGAAAAGUUUCUUUAGCUAGGAACACAAAACCUUGCUCAAUGCAGGCCAAAAUCCAAAAAAAAUUUAAUUUAUCAAGGAUGCGAAUACAUAGAUACUGAACAUCUGGAAAGAUAAAAAAGUCAGAUGGAAUGAAUGAUUGUCGCCACUUUAAAGCUACAACGCAAUACAGCUCCCACACACUCUCUUGACAGAAUUCUUUUCUGCCGGUGCAUCCGAAUUAGAAUUCAUAUAUCCAGCACAAUACUCUUUUUUGGUCAAUAUAUAUAAAUAAUAAUAAAAUAGCUUAGCAAUUAAUCUGUUUAAACAUUUUUACUGAUACAGAUUUUUAAGAAACCUUGAUCAGUGAUAUAAAACAAAGUAAAACGAUUUACAACCAUUCCAUUAACAUGUAGCUGUGGUACAUCUUAUGAGAAUAAAGUUAAAUUUAAUAAAUACCGUA
This is an RNA transcript of Drosophila innubila, 1820 nucleotides long. It is a transcript of the gene named alpha/beta hydrolase domain-containing protein 17B, with no coding region annotated. The record is from RefSeq and is a predicted model, not a curated record. The transcript has 5 exons. Lineage: Eukaryota; Metazoa; Arthropoda; Insecta; Diptera; Drosophilidae.